RNAcentral lists this small nucleolar RNA (69 nucleotides) under Magallana gigas (Pacific oyster). The record is from RNAcentral. Lineage: Eukaryota; Metazoa; Mollusca; Bivalvia; Ostreida; Ostreidae.
UCUGUAUGAUGUAAAUCUUAUUUGCCUGACUUAUGAUGGAGGCAAAAAACUGAUUUAAUGAGGCUGAAG